GGGCGCGGUCCAUAGAAUAGUUUCAUGAUCCACGGUGGGUGGAAGCCUCUUUGCCUGAUCCGACGGUCGAAAAUAAAUCUGGAGUUUGAUCCAAUGGCUAGUAUUGAUCCCGAUCGUGUUAAGAAAAUCAGAGGUGCAGAUCAACGAUCAAAAAUUUAUCUGGAGCAUGAUCAGAUGGUUGAGAAUGCAUCCGACCCUGAGAAGGACUUGAUCAAUAAUUUUUGGGCUGAUCUAGGCGGUCAAAAUGUGAUCUGACAGCCAAAAUUAAUUCCUACAGUUAUAAUACGA
This 288-nucleotide long non-coding RNA is filed under the name Elaeis guineensis (African oil palm). RNAcentral describes it as "long non-coding RNA (EGUI_LNC015483)". The record is from RNAcentral. Lineage: Eukaryota; Viridiplantae; Streptophyta; Magnoliopsida; Arecales; Arecaceae.